This is a long non-coding RNA of Artibeus jamaicensis (Jamaican fruit-eating bat), 6432 nucleotides long. RefSeq lists it as uncharacterized. The transcript has 2 exons. Lineage: Eukaryota; Metazoa; Chordata; Mammalia; Chiroptera; Phyllostomidae. The record is from RefSeq and is a predicted model, not a curated record.
GAGAGACAGUACCAAGGGAGCGUCAAGCAAUCGAGAGGGUGGAUGCUAAUCAGAACUUUCUUCUUCCCACGAUUUAAGCGAAAGGUAAACACUGGCCGCCGUCGCCGCUUACCUCUGUUAACAUUAUUACACCCCAGGGAAGUGAGCUCCUCCCUAGCCUCGCCGCAUGGCAGCAGCCGUAGCAGCAGCGAAAACUGCCCGAGCCGCCGCCAACGGCGGCAACAGUUCCUUCAGUCCUUUCCCGGGCGGCAGCUUUACUCGGCUUCGCUGGCUUCCCCCCGACCCGGCUGCUCGCGACGGACGCGCCGCCAUCUUGGAAGAGCGACGGCCGCGUCUCCCGGCGACGUGCGCUCCCAUUGGCAGACGCGGGAGCCGCCGACGUCUCGUGACUGUCUCCAUAGCGCCGGCGCGUCGGGGAGCGGAGACUGGCGUCCGGCGGCGCACUAGGAUCCGGCGGCUGAGCUACUAGGGUACGGCGCUCAGGCCGAAGAGGGACCGCGGGGCGUGGAGAGAGGCCCCAACGCCAGGCUAACGAAGGAGCCGGCACGCACGCCAGCGAGAACCGCUUGUCCUCCGCCGCACGCCGGGGUCGGCUGGCCCGGGGGUGGAGCGAGAUCCACAGAGGCCGAGCUUUUGACUGCUGGCGUAGCGGAGGUCGCGCGUCUCGGGCACCAGGCGGCCGCUGUCCGGUAGAGGAGCUUCCCCCUCGCAUUGCCGUGGCCCCCGCGCCAAACGAAGUGCACUCGGGAGGUUCGGCUCGCUGCACUGUCCGGGCCUUAAUUAAGAUCCUAAAGUACUUCCUGCUCUGUCGCUCUCUCCUAAACUUUGACAGAAACUUUCCUAUGUCUGUACCAAUCCUCGGCGAGUUCUUGACUGGGGUACGCGACUGGUUGUGGAAGCGAUACGGGGCGUAUCAGCUUUACCCAGAUCCCAGCAGUUAGGACUGUCGCUGAUUAGUUGAUUGGCCGGCACCUGCAUAACAAUGAGGGCUUAGAAAGCUAUAUAAAAAAAAAAAAUUAAAGUCACUUUUGUUUUUUAACAGCCAUCUCUUCUGCUUUACUGGUUUCUUGACCCUCUGUGUUUGUCGGGGUGAGUAAUUUUAGCAGGUGUCAUUGUAAUGAGUCUCAACUUCAGUGGGCCAGAACUCUGGAACGCAGUGUAUCUAAAAGCCCCUGAAAUAACAUUCUAAACCUGCCACUGGUUACAGUGUUUGGAAUUGGAGGCAGUCACUUCUACCUCAGUUGCAAUGGAAGUAGCUUACCUGAACCUGCUGUGUUACGCACUUGUAGAAACCAGUUCCUUAAAAAAUUGAGAAGUAGAUGUUCAGAUUUGACAUACAAAAACCACCUUCCUUUUUUGUUUUUACAAGGGGUACAAAGGCAUUAUGGAAAACUAAAACUAGUAGUAGUUCCUUUCCCUUUGCCAGACUCACCCCCCAUUUCCGUUCCUGAAUAAUAGUACUAUUGAGAAAAAUGAAACUUACUUUAAUACAUUGCUUUCAUCUCAAAAUUAAGUAAAGAUAGUGCAAACCUCAUGCUACCUCUAUACUAUUGCAUCCUUACCAGGGAAACAAAAUGGUUCAUUUAGAUUGGCAGGAAUUAAAGAAAAAUCCCGAUUUUAGUCCCCUCAACUAAUUGAGGCCAAGUAGUUGUUUUAAUCUACAUCUGAUACGUAAUUUCCAUAUUUCUGUUGCAGCAAAAUUCUGACCUCUGCCACACAAUAAAAUGUGUUGGUAUUGACAAAUUAAACCAUGAAUCGGAAAUAAGAUUGGAAAAUACUACUGAGACUAACAUUAAGGGAAACCAAGAGAUACUAGAGACAACAAGGAACCUGGAAAAAGAUACUGUUCCAACCUGUAAAUAAGAAGACAGGGAGGCUCAUUAAUAUUUAAGAUUCCAGCUAGUGAAUUAAAACUAAUUUAGGGGUCUGGCUUGAGUAUUUAAUUUUCUUCAUAUAUUUUUCUAAUACCACAAGCAAGACAUUUUCACAGGUUAUGUAGAGACACAACUUGAGGUUUAUACCACCCAAAAUAGGACAUAGGUAUGCUUUUAAUAUUUAGGUGUAUCUACAUACCUCAGAACAAGCCAAAAUCAUCAGCUCCCAGCUUUCUCAGCCAGGGUCGUUUCUGUGACCUAAAAAACCUUGUUAGCUAGCCUACCAAAUCCCUACAGUCACCUCUCUGACCUCAUUUCUACUAAACACUUUGUUCCAGCACCACACUACUGUAACUGCAGGGCUUCCUCUUGCUCUGGGGCCUUUGCACUAACUAUUCUCUUUAUCUGGAAAGAUCUUUCCGUGAGAUACUGCGUGGCUAGCUCCCUUACUUCUGUCCCAUCUUUGCUCAAAUGUCACCCUUUUCCAGGAAGCCUACUCUGACCAUCUUGUUUAAAAUGUUGCCUUUUCUCUAGCACCCUUUCUUGCUUCAGUUUUCUUAAUAGCACUUAUAUCUUCUAACAUAAAUACUACUUCUCUUAUUGUCUGUCUUCUUUCUACUAGAAUGUGAGUUACAUGAGGUCAGGAUUUUUCUGUUUUGUUCAAUGAUCUCUUCUCAGUACCUAUUCUAGAAUUCAAGAAUAGUGCAUGGCACAUAAUAGACAAUAAAUAUUUCUUACGUGAAUGGGUGAAUCACUUCCUAAAAGACCCAAAAAAGAAUAAGCAUAAUUAAACCUGCUAAGAAACAAAAUCCUUGACAUUGAAAGAAAAAUUUGUUUUUAGAUUGGCCAUUGGUUGUUAUCGUGCAGUUAUGGGGAAGAAUUACCUUAUUUUUCAAACUAUAAGAUUCACUUUUUUCCCCCAAAAUUUGGGAGGAAUAAUGGUGGUUAAUGUUGCUAUUGAGUUCUCUUUACAUUUACAUUGGUGAGAUAUUAUGUUGUUUAUGUUAUUAAGUAUUUUACCACAUUUUUUUGCUUCAAAAAAUUUUUUCCUAUUUUCCUCUAAAACCUAGGUGCGUCUUAUGGUCCGAAAAAUACAGUUAGCUACACCUUUCCCUUCACCAUAUACAUUGCAAAUAUUUUCAGUGGUGGUAAUAGGAGGAAAGAUAAAGGUAAAAUAUGUUAAAAACAAACUCAUUUUAAGCAUGCACCAAAGUUGUCAUGCUAGCAAAAGAAUCAACAAAGUGAAUAAGAUAAUGUCAUUUUAGACUUAUGGAAAUGUAGUUUUGUAGUUGGGAAAGAAUGCUUACAGAAGCAACUAGCUUUAAAAAAAUAAAAGUACCUAAUUUGGUAGAGAUUGCAGUUUUAUUCCUUGUGAUCUUAAAAACAUCAUAUCAGUUGUUACAGAGGAAACCCGGGACAGGCUGAGCUGAGAUGCUGAAUUCUUUGGCUGUCAGUCAAAUGUAAGACAAAAUAAAACAAUCCAUCUUAAGAAACACACACUAAGGAUACAUCUGUGUCUAUCAUUCCCAAAUGUAUGAUCCUACAAUAGCCGUAUCCAAUCUGCCUGAUUAACACAGGAAGGGAUGACAAGAAGAGGUCACAGGCAAAAAUCAAAUGUCUGAUGCUUUCAAACAGGCCACUGCCAGUGAUUUCUAAACCUCCAAACAACAAUUCACAACGUCCAGUUUGCUUAUUUGUUAGUUUUUUUUAAAUCUUCUACAUAAUGAGGUUGGCACAAAUUUGCUAUAAUUCCUUCUGAGAAACUGGCGAAGUAUAGAAUCAACCUCCCAAGCAAAUUGCAUCUAUCAAUUGUCAUAUUCAGUCUUUUGAUUUCUCAAAUCAUGUCAUUAACUUCAGUUUCUUCAUAAUGUAAUAUCAGUGUCACCACCUCCACAGAAUGUUCAAUAGUACUAUGCCUUCGUUAACAAGGUCCAGUAUUGAAGUAAAAUCUUACCAACAGAGGAGACACUUUCUAAGAAGGGACAACAGCAGGAGAUCCCUGUUCUUUGUUACAGCUCAGUGUAGGGCCACAGUAAGCAGAAAUCUCAGGGCCUUUAUGCAUGAUCUGAUAUCUACCUCAAACAGCCCAGCAUGCACUUAUAUCUUGUGUGGUACUUUUUGAGAAAAUACUAAGGCAAUUUAAGCCUAACACAGACAAAUGAUAUGAAGCUUUCCUUGCAGCAGCUGCAGCCAUAAAAAUAAUGUUCACAAGUCUCUUCAAUAAUAGCUCGAUGAAACCAAGAUCUAAAGCAAAAGGACCAUGUUAUUUAUAUAUGCACAUAAUAAUGAUAAUAUACAUGUCUAUAGUAUAUUUCAGAAGUAUUACUAAAUCACUGGCAAUACUUUAUAAAAUAAGUAUUUUUACAUCACAAAAACGACCCAAGGAAUUUUUCAAACAUUUAAUUAUCAAUUAUGAAUAUUAUUUUUCAGAUCUAUUAUGGGCCAGUUGCUAUGGGAGGCAUUUUAUAUAUAUUUAACAGUUGAAAAAGGCCAUCACAGUAGAUCUUAUUACCCUCAGAGGUGAUGAGAGGUUUAGUAACUUGCCCCAGGUCACCUAUCAAAAACACAAACUAUUGGCAUGAUUUAUUAGUUGACUUGGACUACCUGGCUGAGGUGGUGUUUCCAGGUUUCUCCACUGCAAACUUACUCUUUUUUCCCCUUCACACUGUACUCCUUGCAAGGAAGUUACUAUGUGCAGCCUACUCUUAAUUAGGAAUUUAUGCUCCUCUUCCUUGGGGUGGAGUAAUCCACAUAAAUUAUUUGGAAUUUUUGCACAGGAAAUUUUCUCUUCCACAUUUUACCAAAUCAGUCAUUUGUUUAUAUUAGUAUGAACUCGCAGAUAUUUAUUUUAUACUUCAGGUUAAAUUCACUACUCUUUCAUUUUGUUCCUCAGAUUGUUCCAGCGUUGGCUACUGGGAGCUCUUUCAAUUGUCCUGUAUUUUUUAAAUAUCUGUCAGUGUGAGGUGAUUUUCUGUUUUCAUUUUUGAGCAUUCCUUACUUCCUGGUACAACAUUAUACCUAGUUCUUAGUUCUAGAAUCAGCUGCUUCUCUAGGGAACUUUGGUUCUUUUACUGAAUAGUAUUAGAAAUCAAGAUGUAGGCAUUAGAUGUGUUCUUUAUACUCACAGUGCCCUUUUUUUUUCAGCCCUUGCAGUUAACAAAGCAAGGACCCUAUAUGGGUGCACUCUAAUCCAUAUAUAACAUAUCCACCUGUAAAUACUUCUGUAUGGAACGAUCUGUAUAUUCAGCUAAACAUACAUUUACUGAUGUGUCCAUUACCAGAUGGACCAUUCUAGGAUGGAUCAUCUCCUCUUUGCUAGUUUGUAAAAUCCCACGCCAACAGUGAGAAAACUGGUUAGUACCAUCUGCCAUCCAUGUACUUAAUUGUUCAAUUUCAGUGCACAUGUGUAGCAGUAUUGUUAAUCAAUACCCUCUUGCAAAAAACGACUUUAUGAACUAGAGUUCAAUGUCCAGACAUAGUUCCCUUUGUUUUGUCUUAGAUACUUCAGUUAGUUCCAAAAUUGCUUAGUUCAGCACCUUCCUACCCAUCCCCUUUAUGAUGUUGUUUCAUAAAUCUGUAAUAUUGUUAGAUUCUCUUGUUGCUGUCCACUUUCUUGAGAUUCCCCAAACUUCUAAAUGAUUUGAUUUUUUAAAUUGUUACUUUUUUGUGCCGACUUUUGAAAAAAUUGUAUAUUAUGUCAUACAGAAUACUAUAACAUAAAGGGAAAUGCAUAAUAAAAUUACUUUUAUUAGGAAAAAACUCCACUUGUAUAUAAAUAGUGAUAUCAAUAGGAUCUAUUUAUACACAUAUAUAAUAUUAGAUGUAUAAUUCUCUAUAAUACCUAAUGCUAAGUUCUUACCAUGUGCCAGGCUCUGUUCUAAAUGCUGCACAAUAACCCAAGGCUCAGAAAAUUAAUAUUUUUGCUCAAGUUAAUACAAUAUUGAGUGGAAAAAAAUAUAUAAAUCAGAAUUAUAUAUGUAUAUAUACUAUGUCUUUAAGUAUAUUGAAUCAGUUAACUUUAAAAACUAAAAAUUUGCAAUGAUCUUGUCCACAAGUUCUUAUAUAAAUCAUAAGAUGAACCUUUGACCUCCUGUUUUUGCUUCCAGCCAAAGGAGGAAAUGAGAAAAGGAAUCCGGGCUCAAAGACAAAACCUAGUACGUCCCCAUAGUUAAGGCUUACCUCAGCUAGUUCCAUUUUUACAGAGUAAGGGUGAAAUCAAAGACUGCUAUUGUAUUGCUUCCUACUUACUAGUUUAACAACUAAGGCUAAAAACUAUGAUUAGUCUAAGAAUCAUUACUGUUUUUAAAUGUAAUGUAUUGCAUUAAUUGGCACAAAGUUACUUUGACCUGCCUUCGUCUUUAAAUAUAUGAUCUUUCUGUUUCUAAAAAAAAAGUUUAAGACUAUUUGUAAUAGAUGUACACACAACUAAGUGGAAGCACUAUUUGACGUGUUCCCAACAAUACUGGCUGUGGAACAAAAAGAAUAAAAGCCUGAGAAGAUUUGCACUGUGGUUCUACCUUUGCAAUUAAACAGGAUUAAACCUUCUAGUGAAAAUUCA